CCUCGUUUUCCUGGGAUCCGAUCAAAUGUUUGGCAGCCGACCAGGAGUCUCCAUAUCCACCGUUGGUGUUAAUAGCGAGGCGAAUGCUACCACUGCAAGCUAUCAUCCUUUCAAUCAUCAGUUCAUGAGAAACCGGAAGCUCCUUAGCACUGCUGGUCGCCGUGCUUGUACCUACACAGACAUUAGCGUUUCCCAAAGACAGGAUGGGUCGCCUGGGAUUCCUCAGUACACUGUUCAGAUCGUCAACAGUUGCAUGUCCCCUUGUGCUCCUCGGGACAUACACUUGGCUUGCGGGUGGUUUGCUUCGGCCCCUCUGGUCAAUCCCAAAGUUUUCAAGCGCGUCAACUACGACGAUUGCCUGGUAAACAACGGUAAUCCUCUCGAGCACGGCAUGGUUAUCAGGUUCUCCUACUCCAACUCCUUUGCGUAUCCUCUCAAGUUUAAGUCGGCCAGAUUUUGCUAGACACCGUGGUGCCGCGCUCCAAGGCCCCCCGUCCGGUCUGGUGGUGGUCCUUCGUUUUUCUUUACACUACUAAUACUUAAGCUACAUGGCUUCGGUGUUCUCUAGAGAAACUAAAUAUGUACAAGGGAGGCCAGAGUCUUCAAGGGCGUCGUAUUCUUUGUCGUGCUCCAUUGCUGCCCCUGGUACACAUCAGUUACUGUAUGGUAUUUGUCUGAGUACUGGAAAUGUGAAACCGAUAAAAGGAAGGAGGCUCGGGCGGAGGAAGCAUUCCAUGCUCCAGAAACUCACCACUCACGCGCUCACCACCACAGGAUCAGAGGAGCUGAAUACAUUAUUUUAUUCAGCUUGGUGGCCUGUUCAACGUCUUUAUGGAUGGAGCUGUCCUUCCUCAGACACUUCAAGGAGUCGCUUUCUAUCUGCCAGCGAACAUCAAGCCUUAUGAAAUCUCAAGCUGCAUUUUCUGAUGGAUCUGGCUGGAUUGGGUAUAUGCAACAACGUCCUCUGGCCAAUGAUGUAACUGUUGCUUCAGGAUUUACAUUUACAGCGGACUGUUGUUUGCGUCUCUACUGGCUCCUUGACGCAUUCUCGCCUUUCUUCCUUACGAGCUAAGAAUGUUGUCAGCCCAGGCGAUGACGAUGGUAAAUCCUCUUAAGUUUGGGCUCGUAUUUUCAGGACGUGAAUACUACUGAUGCCCGUUGUCUACAGUAUAUUGACAACUUUUUACCGUGAUUGAGAGAAUGCAUGGCCGUCCGGGGAAACAGCAGCGAAGAAGAAAAGUUUCAUGGCUACCAAUUCUUCGCGGAUCCUUGUUCAUUUCUCGUGUCCAUCAGACGCGCUCACCGCUUUCGCCAUUUCCCGCGCAGCACAAGCAUUGUUUUAAAAUUCCAAAGCUUCGAGAGUAGUCGCGGGCGCCGCGUGUCUACCAAAGACAAGCAAGAGAACAUCGAAUGUCUAGAAACUCCAUCAACGCGAGGCGAGAGGGGGAGAGCGAGAGAGCGGCCGUGUUGAUCCAACAAGAGCAAGCGAAAAAAGAUAAGUAUAACAGGAAGAAGAAAAGCUCAAACAAGAAGACGAGUAGUAGGCGUUACGUGAAAUCGACGUUGACAUGAAAAGACGACGACAAGCAAGCCGGAUGAGACAUCAAUUCGCAUGGCGAGAUUUUUAUAAGUUUCAAGGCGCCAUGGAUUGCUACAACUUUUUUUAUGCGGGUCGAUCGAGAUCGAGAGCUGGAUUGGAUGUUGGGGGAGAGUACACUUCUUCGUUUUGUUGGAGAGCGAAGAAAUCCUCUCUAAGAAGUCGGACUGGUCUUCGCAAAUGAUUUCAGGGACGGUUUGUUUAAGCUAUUGAAGAGAUCAAUGCAUAGAUUCUCAAAGAGAGAGGCAAACGGGAAUUAUUUGCAGUUUAGAUUAAACUGAUAACUAAAACUGUUUCUACAA
Selaginella moellendorffii is the source of this 1899-nucleotide RNA transcript. It is a transcript of the gene named TPD1 protein homolog 1, with no coding region annotated. The transcript is spliced from 9 exons. The record is from RefSeq and is a predicted model, not a curated record. NCBI's taxonomy places the organism in Eukaryota, Viridiplantae, Streptophyta, Lycopodiopsida, Selaginellales, Selaginellaceae.